This 425-nucleotide ribosomal RNA is filed under the name uncultured bacterium. Its description in RNAcentral is "partial 16S ribosomal RNA". It matches the Rfam family "Bacterial small subunit ribosomal RNA", at positions 354 to 796 of the family's 1533-position model. The record is from RNAcentral.
GUGGGGAAUCUUAGACAAUGGGGGAAACCCUGAUCUAGCCAUGCCACGUGAUCGAUGAAGGCCUUAGGGUUGUAAAGAUCUUUCAGGUGGGAAGAUAAUGACUGUACCACCAGAAGAAGCCCCGGCUAACUCCGUGCCAGCAGCCGCGGUAAUACGGAGGGGGCUAGCGUUGUUCGGAAUUACUGGGCGUAAAGCACACGUAGGCGGAUUGGAAAGGUGGGGGUGAAAUCCCGGGGCUCAACCCCGGAACUGCCUUCAAAACUCCCAGUCUUGAGUUCGAGAGAGGUGAGUGGAAUUCCGAGUGUAGAGGUGAAAUUCGUAGAUAUUCGGAGGAACACCAGUGGCGAAGGCGGCUCACUGGCUCGAUACUGACGCUGAGGUGCGAAAGCGUGGGGAGCAAACAGGAUUAGAAACCCCUGUAGUCC